UACUUAUGUAUUGAUAUAGGCAUCUGUUCUGCAUAGGACUUCUGAUAUUGAAUUCUACCGUUGCAGGUUGAUGUCUACCCUUUGAAGAUUCAAUUAAGUGAAAGCAAGUAUAAGAUGAUGUGGAAUUAUUUCUUUCCAGAAGAUGAGCAAGAUCCACAGAGACGGCAAUACAAGUUUGAGCACAAGGGAGAGAUCUCCCAGCCAGCAGUCUUAAUCUCAGUGACAUUGAUGGAGUACAAAUUCCUCUACAAUUUCUCAAACACCCCAAUGAUGGUUCUGGCCAUGGAUUUUUCACCUCCAUUACGAGACUGUUCAGUUCUCAACGUCGUAAAGCCAAGGCUUUUGUACUUUGAACUAUUAUGAGAGGAGAUGCAGAGGGUGAUUUUCUGGGCGACUGGAGAGAAGGUGAUGCUGAGAUAUCUCAUUUUGCCCGACAACUCACAAUAACAAAAGCUAAGAAGCUUAUCCGGCGGCACACUCAGAGAGUCAUUUAUCAUGUUUCGUCACCGUUUACAAGAUCUUGAAAAUCCUGAACAAGAUUUGCUUCUAUCCAUCCUCAAAGGUUAGAGUUGAUUCUUCUUCAAGCGGCUGCAAACGAACCAAGCUGAGCCGAGCUUUAGCAUGUUCGAACCCAAGCUCGUCUGUCAGGACCCUGUUCGAGCUCUGCUCGUUUAGAUAAAACUUUGCUCGAGCUCGUUUACCUCUUAACGAGCUACUCAUUGAAAAGUGGAGCAAGUUGGCAGUCUUAAAAAAAUGAAAUUCAAUUCGCACCAUAGCAAAAACAUCAUCAAUCCUUUAUCCCACUAUGUGGGGUCAGCCACAUGAACCCUUUUUCUCAUUUUUGCUGCCUAUUCAAAAUUAUUAAUAUUAAUUUGUAAUAAAUAUUAUGUUUUGAAUGUUUGGUAGGCAUUACUAGAGAAUGUGGCAAUGUAUUUGAUCAAAAGAGCAGAGCUAUCAAUUAAAAUUAAAUAUUGUGGAAGCUGCUAAAUA
Dendrobium catenatum is the source of this 990-nucleotide long non-coding RNA. RefSeq lists it as uncharacterized. Lineage: Eukaryota; Viridiplantae; Streptophyta; Magnoliopsida; Asparagales; Orchidaceae. The record is from RefSeq and is a predicted model, not a curated record. The transcript is spliced from 4 exons.